GGGGGUGUAGCUCAGUGGUAGAGCAUUUUGACUGCAGAUCAAGAGGUCCUUGGUUUAAAUCCAGGCGCCCCUU
Molecule: transfer RNA, 73 nt
Filed under: Petromyzon marinus (sea lamprey)
Lineage: Eukaryota; Metazoa; Chordata; Hyperoartia; Petromyzontiformes; Petromyzontidae
Description: tRNA-Cys (GCA) (tRNA-Cys-GCA-25-1)
Rfam family: tRNA
About the family: Transfer RNA (tRNA) molecules are approximately 80 nucleotides in length. Their secondary structure includes four short double-helical elements and three loops (D, anti-codon, and T loops). Further hydrogen bonds mediate the characteristic L-shaped molecular structure. tRNAs have two regions of fundamental functional importance: the anti-codon, which is responsible for specific mRNA codon recognition, and the 3' end, to which the tRNAs corresponding amino acid is attached (by aminoacyl-tRNA synthetases). tRNAs cope with the degeneracy of the genetic code in two manners: having more than one tRNA (with a specific anti-codon) for a particular amino acid; and 'wobble' base-pairing, i.e. permitting non-standard base-pairing at the 3rd anti-codon position.
Source: RNAcentral